Molecule: ribosomal RNA, 442 nt
Filed under: uncultured bacterium
Lineage: Bacteria
Description: partial 16S ribosomal RNA
Rfam family: Bacterial small subunit ribosomal RNA
Source: RNAcentral
CCUACGGGAGGCAGCAGUGGGGAAUAUUGGGCAAUGGGCGAAAGCCUGACCCAGCGACGCCGCGUGAGGGAAGACGGUCUUCGGAUUGUAAACCUCUUUCAGCAGGGAAGACAAUAGGACGGUACCUGCAGAAGAAGCCACGGCUAACUACGUGCCAGCAGCCGCGGUAAUACGUAGGUGGCAAGCGUUAUCCGGAUUUACUGGGUGUAAGGGGUGUGUAGGCGGGUUUGCAAGUCAGAUGUGAAAAUUAUGGGCUCAACCCACAGCCUGCGUCGGAAACUACAGAUCUUGAGAGUGGGAGAGGUAAGCGGAAUUCCCGGUGUAGCGGUGAAAUGCGUAGAUAUUAGGAGGAACACCAGUGGCGAAGGCGGCUUACUGGACAGUAACUGACGCUGAGGCGCGAAAGCGUGGGGAGCAAACAGGAUUAGAUACCCCUGUAGUC